CCUACGGGAGGCAGCAGUGGGGAAUAUUGGGCAAUGGACGCAAGUCUGACCCAGCAACGCCGCGUGAAGGAAGAAGGCUUUCGGGUUGUAAACUUCUUUUAAGGGGGAAGAGCAGAAGACGGUACCCCUUGAAUAAGCCACGGCUAACUACGUGCCAGCAGCCGCGGUAAUACGUAGGUGGCAAGCGUUGUCCGGAUUCAUUGGGCGUAAAGAGUUUGUAGGCGGCAAGGAAAGUCUGGUGUUAAAGGCAGAGGCUCAACUUCUGUACUGCAUUGGAUACUUGCGAGCUAGAAUGUGGUAGAGGUAAAGGGAAUUCCUGGUGUAGCGGUGAAAUGCGUAGAUAUCAGGAGGAACAUCAGUGGCGUAAGCGCAUUACUGGGCCGUAAUUGACGCUGAGGAACGAAAGCCAGGGGAGCAAAUGGGAUUAGAUACCCGAGUAGUC
Molecule: ribosomal RNA, 442 nt
Filed under: uncultured bacterium
Lineage: Bacteria
Description: partial 16S ribosomal RNA
Rfam family: Bacterial small subunit ribosomal RNA
Source: RNAcentral